UACGUAGGGGGCAAGCGUUGUCCGGAUUUACUGGGCGUAAAGAGCGUGUAGGCGGCCAAGCAGGUCCGUUGUGAAAACUGGAGGCUCAACCUCCAGACGUCGACGGAAACCGCGUGGCUAGAGUCCGGAAGAGGAGAGUGGAAUUCCUGGUGUAGCGGUGAAAUGCGCAGAUAUCAGGAAGAACACCAAUGGCGAAGGCAGCUCUCUGGGACGGUACUGACGCUAAGGCGCGAAAGCGUGGGGAGCGAACAGG
Molecule: ribosomal RNA, 253 nt
Filed under: uncultured bacterium
Lineage: Bacteria
Description: partial 16S ribosomal RNA
Rfam family: Bacterial small subunit ribosomal RNA
Source: RNAcentral